CGCAACAGAGUGAUCAAAUUCUCACUGAACAUUCAAACACAUACUUGAUUAAUUCAAUAUGAAACAAAUAAUCACAACUUAACAAAGCCCUAAAUCCCAACUGCUUGGGUAGAUUGACCAAAUUCCUUUGCAAAUCAAUUGUAUCUAGGUUUAUACCAUUCACUAAAUCAUUGGAAAUAGCAAAUCAAUUGUACGUACCGUUUAUGUUUCCAUGGUAAAACUAGAGAAUGUUUAUUCCAUCCAAAUCUUUUUUAUAUAUAAUUGUACAAGAUAAUGUUCCUAGAUAAUUAAUUAUAUAGAAAUACUAGCUUGACCAGUGAACAAGAAUGAAAUCCUAGAAUUCAAAUUGUCAACAAUAGCAUUGACAGGUUAAAAGCAUUCAAAGAGAAACCCUAGCCCUCUAUUUGGUUUCCACACAAAUAGAGCAAUAAAAGACAACUUAUUUCUCAUCUUUUACUUCCAAAAAAGAAAAAGGGAAAAGCCCUUCGUACUGUGAAUUUUAAGUAAAGUGGCAUGUUUCUGCAUUCCCGAAUCAUCAUUGAUGAAAAUUUUAUGAUUCAAAUCAUUGUUGGUGAAAAUUUUUCAAUUCAAAAUUCUAAUUGUUUUUUUCAUGUUUUCUUAGUAUCUAAACUAAAUAUAUUUUCAUCCAAGAAAACUAUCUAUUUUUAUACAAGCAAGCAUUUCCACUUAGCAAAUACCGUUAAUCUAACAAAAAUCUAGCCGUAAUCUAGACUGGCAAUAGUUCCACGGCUGUUCAAAGAGAAACCCUAGAAUCGAAAACUUCCAGCAAUAGCAUAUCCAACCUAUAAAGCACUCAGAGUGAAAUCCGACCCUCUGUUUGGUUACCAAGAAAAAUAAAACAAAACCACAUUUUGAUUUCUUUGUUUUCUCUCUCACUUUCUUUGCUUCCAAAAAUCCAACAAUAAAAAAUUUAAAAUUUAAAAAAUUAGAUCAACUAAGCCAAAGAGUCUUAUCAGUUUUAGGUAAAGUGCAAUCUUCUGUAUUCUCUAACCCUAGAUGGCAAAAUUUUCUUGCAUUUUCUCAUUAUUUCGAUUGUAUCCAACGGAGAAGCUGAUUGAAUGAAUUGGGAGUAGAGAUCGUAACAGUACCUUGAACUCAGAGAUCGAUCGAAACGCAGCCUUUGGAGAAGUGACAAUUGACCCUUUUUGCGUACCGACAACCGAGAGAUUGAAUGCUUCUCUGUAAACAGUUAUCGGAUCCCCUCAACUCAGAUAUCGCCCGAAACGCAGCGUUUGGAGAAGGGACGAUAGGAAUCAUAGGACGCCUACGGAGUUCAGUCGGGUAAUAAUGGGCUGGUCAUGGGCCGGCCCAAUAUCUCUCGAUCAAAUUUUACUGCCUACAUAGUUUGAUCUGAAUGAAAGCUAACUCAACUUCAUCCCCUACUUAAUUUAUUUUAGAUUUUCAAUCCAUACUCAAUUUAAUCAUGUU
Molecule: long non-coding RNA, 1449 nt
Filed under: Vitis vinifera (wine grape)
Lineage: Eukaryota; Viridiplantae; Streptophyta; Magnoliopsida; Vitales; Vitaceae
Description: long non-coding RNA (VVIN_LNC008057)
Source: RNAcentral